GAAAAUCGGAGAAAAGAAGAGGCCGGAUAGGGAGUUCUCUUUUCCAACAAAAUCCAGCGACAUCCGUCGCCGGCAAUCGUGCCCACAGGCACGGGAAAGAAGGGAGAGAAGAGAGGAAGAGAAAGGAGACCUUACCACAACCUCCGGUGACCCCCACCGGCGUGAAAUCGCGGCGAGCACAGGUCAAGGAGUCGCGGCUUCAAACAGAAAAAUCGAAGAAAAACUCCGGC
RNAcentral lists this long non-coding RNA (230 nucleotides) under Elaeis guineensis (African oil palm). RNAcentral's name for it is "long non-coding RNA (EGUI_LNC003389)". Lineage: Eukaryota; Viridiplantae; Streptophyta; Magnoliopsida; Arecales; Arecaceae. The record is from RNAcentral.